This 857-nucleotide ribosomal RNA is filed under the name uncultured bacterium. Its description in RNAcentral is "bacterial SSU rRNA". It matches the Rfam family "Bacterial small subunit ribosomal RNA", at positions 67 to 904 of the family's 1533-position model. The record is from RNAcentral.
CACCGAAUGCUUGCAUUCACCGAAAGAAGCUUAGUGGCGAACGGGUGAGUAACACGUAGGCAACCUGCCCAAAAGAGGGGGAUAACACUUGGAAACAGGUGCUAAUACCGCAUAACCAUGAACACCGCAUGAUGUUCAUGUAAAAGACGGCUUUUGCUGUCACUUUUGGAUGGGCCUGCGGCGUAUUAACUUGUUGGUGGGGUAACGGCCUACCAAGGUGAUGAUACGUAGCCGAACUGAGAGGUUGAUCGGCCACAUUGGGACUGAGACACGGCCCAAACUCCUACGGGAGGCAGCAGUAGGGAAUCUUCCACAAUGGACGAAAGUCUGAUGGAGCAACGCCGCGUGAAUGAAGAAGGUCUUCGGGUCGUAAAAUUCUGUUGUCAGAGAAGAACGUGCGUGAGAGUAACUGUUCACGUAUUGACGGUAUCUGACCAGAAAGCCACGGCUAACUACGUGCCAGCAGCCGCGGUAAUACGUAGGUGGCGAGCGUUGUCCGGAUUUAUUGGGCGUAAAGGGAACGCAGGCGGUCUUUUAAGUCUGAUGUGAAAGCCUUCGGCUUAACCGAAGUAGUGCAUUGGAAACUGGAAGACUUGAGUGCAGAAGAGGAGAGUGGAACUCCAUGUGUAGCGGUGAAAUGCGUAGAUAUAUGGAAGAACACCAGUGGCGAAAGCGGCUCUCUGGUCUGUAACUGACGCUGAGGUUCGAAAGCGUGGGUAGCAAACAGGGUUAGAUACCCUGGUAGUCCACGCCGUAAACGAUGAGUGCUAAGUGUUGGAGGGUUUCCGCCCUUCAGUGCUGCAGCUAACGCAUUAAGCACUCCGCCUGGGGAGUACGGUCGCAAGACAGCAACUCGA